RNAcentral lists this long non-coding RNA (1372 nucleotides) under Cairina moschata (Muscovy duck). Its description in RNAcentral is "domestica (muscovy Duck (domestic type)) lncRNA (ENSCMMG00000011855.1)". Lineage: Eukaryota; Metazoa; Chordata; Aves; Anseriformes; Anatidae. The record is from RNAcentral.
CAUUCAAAAGGAUGACUCCUUGUCUCCAGUAGUACGAAGUAGCUUCUGAUUUGAGUGAGAAGAUGGAAACUGGGAGGAAAGGGAAGUUGACGGUGCUCCUGCCAGCUGUUGGAGUGAUGCUGCAACACCCCAACCAGGGCUGGCUGCUGGAAGAACAACAGAGAAGCGAGGUGUGAGAGUAUUAUUGGCCAUGGAAGUCCUUCUUUGUUGUAUAAACUUUUUUUUUUUUUUUUUUAAUGUCAGUAUACUUCCUUUUUUAGGUUACCAUGACACUGAGAGAACACUGAACUGCAUUUUGAAACAGGCUUCCUGGUCCAGCGGUACUGAAUAUAGGCUGAUACCUCAGACAAGGUUCUUCAAGGGUUAGGGCAACAGUGAUUGUCCCUUCCAGGAUGCCUGUAAAGUAUUUGCUGGUGGUGGUUGUAACUGUUCUCUCCGAACGCACAGCCUGUCAGCUUCCCACGACCUGCUCGGAGCUAGAGUGUGGAAAUCAGGACACCAGCUGCAUGCUCCUACUGGACCUUGGCUCUUCUUCAGCAAGCAUCACGCAGAGCUGAUAUUUUAUCCAGUCAGCUUAUGCACGUGUGGAGGAGCCGCUGACUUUGGUCACGGAGCUGUGUGCAGUUUGCAGGCCACCUGGGAUGCUUCUGGGCCAGAUCGGGUGGCGUGACUGGCCACAGGGCCAGGUUGGUGCUGGGCUCCUGGGCAGCGAGAGACCCUGUGGGCGGCAGUGAGUGGGAGCACCUGGCUGGGCUGCCCAAGGCUCCCAGCCCCACAUGAGACGGUGUUGGAGGGCUUUUUGGCUGGGAUGCCUCCUUCAUGGCUCGCUCCCAGUGCCUCUGCAUUACGUGGUGUCUAAACCUUAAUGCUCCGGGGAGAGGGGCGUCAUCGCAGCCUGUGGGAUUGCAGCCAUCAGGCAGCCUUGCUGCCCUGGCCUGGGAUCUGGGACCCACUGAGGCUCUGCAUUUGUGUCCCUACAGGUGGCACAUCCACGGUGCAAAGCUUCAGAGAGAUGCCGUGCGCUGAAACACCAGGAGCACCCAGCCCAGCGCGCAGCUUUCUGCUCUGCGGGCCGAGUCCUCUCCGGCUCCCAAGCGCCUGCUCCCAGGAGAGGGCAGUGGAGCCGCACACGCUCCCGUGCUGCGGCCGGCAGGAGAGCCGGCUCCCUCGGGUGCUGGGCAAGGAGAGGAACGGGGCAGCAGAGGUAUGCUCCUGUCUAGCCUGGGUUCUGCACUGACUGGAGGAGCAGUGAAACAAAAACUGAGCAAGUGAGAGAGCCUUUCUCAGCUGGUGUAAGGUGUUGCACGGGUGGAGAGGAGCCUGCGAGACGCGACCUGACAGCAUUUGGGACCCAACAGAGAGGUAAGUCCAC